RNAcentral lists this ribosomal RNA (1440 nucleotides) under uncultured organism. RNAcentral's name for it is "SSU rRNA". It matches the Rfam family "Bacterial small subunit ribosomal RNA". The record is from RNAcentral.
GCUAGCUACAGGCUUAACACAUGCAAGUCGAGGGGCAGCAUGGUCUUAGCUUGCUAAGGCCGAUGGCGACCGGCGCACGGGUGAGUAACACGUAUCCAACCUGCCGUCUACUCUUGGACAGCCUUCUGAAAGGAAGAUUAAUACAAGAUGGCAUCAUGAGUCCGCAUGUUCACAUGAUUAAAGGUAUUCCGGUAGACGAUGGGGAUGCGUUCCAUUAGAUAGUAGGCGGGGUAACGGCCCACCUAGUCUUCGAUGGAUAGGGGUUCUGAGAGGAAGGUCCCCCACAUUGGAACUGAGACACGGUCCAAACUCCUACGGGAGGCAGCAGUGAGGAAUAUUGGUCAAUGGGCGAGAGCCUGAACCAGCCAAGUAGCGUGAAGGAUGACUGCCCUAUGGGUUGUAAACUUCUUUUAUAAAGGAAUAAAGUCGGGUAUGGAUACCCGUUUGCAUGUACUUUAUGAAUAAGGAUCGGCUAACUCCGUGCCAGCAGCCGCGGUAAUACGGGGGAUCCGAGCGUUAUCCGGAUUUAUUGGGUUUAAAGGGAGCGUAGAUGGAUGUUUAAGUCAGUUGUGAAAGUUUGCGGCUCAACCGUAAAAUUGCAGUUGAUACUGGAUAUCUUGAAUGCAGUUGAGGCAGGCGGAAUUCGUGGUGUAGCGGUGAAAUGCUUAGAUAUCACGAAGAACUCCGAUUGCGAAGGCAGCCUGCUAAGCUGCAACUGACAUUGAGGCUCGAAAGUGUGGGUAUCAAACAGGAUUAGAUACCCUGGUAGUCCACACGGUAAACGAUGAAUACUCGCUGUUUGCGAUAUACUGCAAGCGGCCAAGCGAAAGCGUUAAGUAUUCCACCUGGGGAGUACGCCGGCAACGGUGAAACUCAAAGGAAUUGACGGGGGCCCGCACAAGCGGAGGAACAUGUGGUUUAAUUCGAUGAUACGCGAGGAACCUUACCCGGGCUUAAAUUGCAGAUGAAUUACGGUGAAAGCCGUAAGCCGCAAGGCAUCUGUGAAGGUGCUGCAUGGUUGUCGUCAGCUCGUGCCGUGAGGUGUCGGCUUAAGUGCCAUAACGAGCGCAACCCUUGUUGUCAGUUACUAACAGGUUCCGCUGAGGACUCUGACAAGACUGCCAUCGUAAGAUGUGAGGAAGGUGGGGAUGACGUCAAAUCAGCACGGCCCUUACGUCCGGGGCUACACACGUGUUACAAUGGGGGGUACAGAGGGCCGCUACCACGCGAGUGGAUGCCAAUCCCCAAAACCUCUCUCAGUUCGGACUGGAGUCUGCAACCCGACUCCACGAAGCUGGAUUCGCUAGUAAUCGCGCAUCAGCCACGGCGCGGUGAAUACGUUCCCGGGCCUUGUACACACCGCCCGUCAAGCCAUGGGAGCCGGGGGUACCUGAAGUGCGUAACCGCGAGGAGCGCCCUAGGGUAAAACUGGUGACUGGG